RNAcentral lists this long non-coding RNA (379 nucleotides) under Androctonus crassicauda. Lineage: Eukaryota; Metazoa; Arthropoda; Arachnida; Scorpiones; Buthidae. The record is from RNAcentral.
UGUGGUAUUAAUAACAACAAAUCUCUUAACCUGAAUAACAGGCUUUAAUCCAAUAAAAUACAGACAAGCUACAAACACAUAAGGUGGAAUAAAUACACGAGACAAAGAGAGCCACAAAUACAUGUGCGAGAAAGGAGAGCAUGCUAGAACAACGACUGAUGUUGCCAGACAUAGAGAUCCAGACGAAUGGAGCUGCCACACAUACUACAAUCAUCCUCAGUUGGAGUUGAAUCCAGUGCUUGUUCUUCCAUCUGAAAGAGGAAUUUCUUCAAUGCUGAUAUUAUUUUUUAAGCAAAUGUUGUGGAGCACAACACAAGCAGUUUCUGGAUGAUAGUGUAGUAGGCAAUGCCAGCAAUUUUUCAAAAGACCAUUACAUUGC